GACGAACGCUGGCGGCGUGCCUAAUACAUGCAAGUCGAACGAAGCUUUUUUAACUGGUGCUUGCACCGACUUAAACAACUGAGUGGCGAACGGGUGAGUAACACGUGGGUAACCUGCCCCAAAGCGGGGGAUAACAUUUGGAAACAGAUGCUAAUACCGCAUAACCACAGAAACCACAUGGUUUCUGUGUCAAAGAUGGUUUCGGCUAUCACUUUGGGAUGGACCCGCGGCGUAUUGGCUAGUUGGUAAGGUAAUGGCUUACCAAGGCAAUGAUACGUAGCCGAACUGAGAGGUUGAUCGGCCACCUUGGGACUGAGACACGGCCCAAACUCCUACGGGAGGCAGCAGUAGGGAAUCUUCCACAAUGGACGAAAGUCUGAUGGAGCAACGCCGCGUGAGUGAAGAAGGUUUUCGGAUCGUAAAACUCUGUUGUCAGAGAAGAACGUGUGCGAGAGUAACUGUUCGUGCAGUGACGGUAUCUGGCCAGAAAGCCACGGCUAACUACGUGCCAGCAGCCGCAGUAA
This 524-nucleotide ribosomal RNA is filed under the name uncultured bacterium. Its description in RNAcentral is "partial 16S ribosomal RNA". It matches the Rfam family "Bacterial small subunit ribosomal RNA", at positions 28 to 523 of the family's 1533-position model. The record is from RNAcentral.